This 508-nucleotide ribosomal RNA is filed under the name Ptycta sp. Ptsp.MY.06.17.2008.03. Its description in RNAcentral is "partial 16S ribosomal RNA". The stretch from base 376 to 508 matches the Rfam family "Bacterial large subunit ribosomal RNA", at positions 2473 to 2606 of the family's 2925-position model. Lineage: Eukaryota; Metazoa; Arthropoda; Insecta; Psocodea; Psocidae. The record is from RNAcentral.
AAAACAUGUCUUUUUGAACAAAAUUAAAAGUCAAAUCUGCUCACUGAGUAUUUAAAGAGCCGCAGUAUACUGACUGUGCAAAGGUAGCAUAAUCAAUAGUUUUUUAAUUGGGAACUAGAAUGAAAGAUUAGACGAGAAAUUAAUUUUCUUUAUUUUAAUAAAUUAAAAUUUAAAUUCAAGUGAAAAUGCUUGAUUAAUAUUAAAAGACGAGAAGACCCUAUAGAUUUUUAUUAUUGAAAUAAAUUUUUAAAUUUUAAUUUAUUAAAAUAAUUUCAUUGGGGCGAUUUUAUAAUAUAAAAAACUUAAUUUUUUUAGACCAUAAAUUGUUGAAGAUUAGAUCUAAAUUUUUUAAAGAAAAGAUUAAAUUACCUUAGGGAUAACAGCGUAAUUUUAUUUAAGAGUUCAUAUCUAUAAUAAAGUUUGCGACCUCGAUGUUGAAUUAAGAUAAUAUAUUGGAGUAGAAAUUAAUAUGGUUAGUCUGUUCGACUAUUUAAUUCUUACGUGAUCU